GAGGAUACACAAAAACACAUGGACAUAAACCAAAAAGAAAAAGGAAACAGAAACAACAAAAAAAAAUGGAACACAACAGAAGCAAAAAUAAAGAGAGACAGAAGAAAAAGAAACAGACAAAGAUGGAAAAACAAGCAAAACAUAAGAGAAAAGUAGACUUGAAAGAAAGGAAUAAAAAAAGUGAUGAUUUGAGUUCAAAUUCGGGUUCCGUUUGAGUUUUUUUUUUCGGUGAAGACGUUUUUUGUUUCUAUUUAAGUUAUUCUACCACACAGGUUCUUAUUCGGAUUCUUUAUUUAUAAUUUUAUUUAGUUUUUGGGGUUAAAGCAUGAAUGAAGUUAUUACAAUGAUUUGCUAUAUUAUUUCGUAUGUGUAAUUAAUUAGUUAGUUUAUGCUUUACAUCUUUAUUUGUAAUUCGUCUAAUGUUUUUUGAAGAUAAUGUUAAUUAUAUUGACUAUGAAUUUUGAAUGAGGUGAUUUCAAAGUUAUUAGUUUUAAAGAUAUAAAUUGCGUUAAUACAAAUUAUUGUGCUAUAAACCACAACUUUGAUUCAUGAAUGCAAUGCAUGCAAAAAGAUUUUAAAAGAGAAGGGUUGAAAAAAUAACAUGCACAUGCAUAUGCUCACACAAAAAAAUGGAAGACACAUAAAACUGGAAGAAACAAACUCUUAAGAAGAAAGGAAAGGAUAAAAAAAAAUAGAGACAUGAACAUGCAAACAGAUAGUGGAAAAAUUAAAAAAAAAAAAAGAUAGAGUUGAUAAAAUAAUGAAAGAGCACCACUUUAUUCAUUCUUUUUAAAAAUCGAAUCUUGAGGUUUAGGUUAUCAAUUUAAAUAAUAAGUUAGGUCAAGUAUAGUAAUUUAAUUUUGUUGUUUUCGUUUAUGUUUGAUCUUUUGUUCUAAUUGUAGUAUUCGAAUGUCUGGUUUCAAUUGAUUGGGUGCAUAUACAUUUAUCACCUGAUAAGAUUUUUAAUUGUGAUCGAGUUUGAGUUGGCUUUCAGUUUGGUCAAAAUUUGGUCAUAGCAAAUCGCAUGGAUAACGAUUUUAAAUUUUAAAUCAAGACCCAUCAUAUUUGACAAUAGAAAAGAAAGGAUAAAAUUAAUAGAAAAAAUAGCAAGCAAUAAUAUAAAACGAAAAAAAGAAAAGUAUUUAUUUUUGAAGUUAUAAAACAUGUUUUUGACAUUAGGAAUUGUAUUAUUUUUUAUUUAUUAAAAAAUUUAAUAAUUAUUUAUUAAAUUAAUUAAUUAAUUUAGUUGAAUAUUUUUUAAGAUUAAGUAGCAUUUUUUUGAACAAAUAAAUUGUUGCAAGUUUUUAUAUAAAAAAGAUAAAUCGAUGUUUAGCAUUAGACAAAUUUUAGACACGUUUAAAAUAUUCGUCUCAAUUAAGAAUGCGGCAUACCCAUCUUUCUAAGAUAUUUAGAAUUCAAGGAUGCAAUAAUACACCUUGGCAAAUAUUUUUUUAAAAUUAAUUUUCAUUGAUUUAUUUAACAUAAAGUAAUAGACUAGUUUUAAAUAAAAUGAGCGAAUUUAGGUCUUAUUAUAAUUGGUCAAAAUAGUUUAGUUUAAGUAUAAGUCAAUAAAAGUGACCGUGCUAGAACCACCGGACUCGAGGGGUGCCUCACACCUUCUCCUCGGUCAACAGAAUUCCUUACCUAGUCUUCUAUUUUCGCAGAUAAACAAAGAGUCAUUUCCUUUUGAUUAGGGAUUCAAAAAGGUCACUUGGAACACCAUAACUCAAUUUCAAGUGGCGACUUUGUAAAUAAUCUCUAUUCAAAAUCGUCACUUCAAUUGGAAAAAUUCUUCGACUCGAUCCUUGCGGACGAAAAGGGGGUGUGACAUCUCUAGCGACUUUGCUGGGGAAUUAACUAGAAUUUGAGCUUUUUACAUUGACUUAUACUUGCUUUAAUUAUUGUUGAUAUUGUGUUUGUUGGCCUUAUGUGCUACUUGUCGCUUAUUUACCAUUUUGAUAUUGAUUGAACUGUAUUAUAUAUUGUCUUCUCUUGCGCACCCCUUCUGAUUCCCUGAAAUAGGAUAGAAGGAAUGCAGCGCAUGCAUCCUACUUUCUUUUUUAGAUAGACAGAGUGUCAAGGCACCUGGUGAAGGAUUAUAGUCACACAUGAUAGGCGGGGUUCGGAUUGGCAACAAAGGCGGUGUUGCCCUGCUACCAACCAAGUUGUCCCUCCCUGGCUUGAGUGUCUGCUCGGGAAAGCCAGUCUAGACACCUAUCCCUAUUAGGCUUAAACUUAGAAGAACUGAAAACUCAGAAUCUGGUUAUCCCUAUUAGGUGCCACUUUAUUUGCAUCAUAUGCAUCUGACUUAUCGUGACUCGGCACAAAGGCCGGGUCUAUCUAGGAUAGAUGUCCUACUUUAUAAAGACCAACAUGUGCAUCCUACGUGCUCUUUGACAUUUGUUUAGAAGGCUAAUUGUUUGUUGACUGGAUUUAGGCAACUUUAAAAUGCAAGAGAUUAAAUUAACCUCAAAUUUAGUGAAUCUUUUUUUUAAAGAAAAAAUUUAUUUUAAAAGAAAGGAAAUUUUUAAAUAUAUAGUAACAUAGUUUUAUGGUUUUUAUGAACUACGAGGGUCUGAUUCUCACUCUUUAUUGACAUACGUAGGAAGCGGGGUACGACCCUAUCUUUUGAAAAAUUAUUCAUAGAUUUAUUGGGGAAUAUUUUGGAAAUAUGAUUGCUUUCAUAAUUAUUUUUCUUAUUCUCAAGUUCAAUNNNNNNNNNNNNNNNNNNNNNNNNNNNNNNNNNNNNNNNNNNNNNNNNNNNNNNNNNNNNNNNNNNNNNNNNNNNNNNNNNNNNNNNNNNNNNNNNNNNNNNNNNNNNNNNNNNNNNNNNNNNNNNNNNNNNNNNNNNNNNNNNNNNNNNNNNNNNNNNNNCUUAAUAGCCCAGAAUCUUUAAGGAUCAUGAGGCUAAGUUUUACAAAAUAAAAAAAUAUAUAUAAAUCUCAAUAGCCCUGAAUCUCUAGGGAUCAUAAGGCUAAGUUUUACAAAAAAUAUAAAUAAAUCUUAAUAGCCCUGAACCUUUAGGGGUCUUGAGGCUGAGUUUUGUAUGACAUAAUUUUCAAGAACUACGCACACCUGAUUCUCAUUUUAGUGAGAUACGUAGGCAGUCCUUCAUGGAUUCGGUGAUUUUAAAGAAAUAAAAAAAUUAUUUGUAUUUCCUUUUAAACAAAUUAAUAACAGAGUUUUCGAUCUGUAUAUAAAAAUAAAUUAAUUUAUUUUUGAAAAUAAAAAAUAUGUUUUCAUCAUUAUCUUUAAAUUCAAAAAGAAUAAAAAAUAAUAAUAAUAAUAAUAAUAAAAUCUUUCACAUUUCUCAAAUUACAAGAAAAUGUGUUUCUUCAUAUCUCCAGCUUCAAGAACUACGCACACCUGAUUCUCAUUUUAUUGAGAUACGUAGGCAGUCCUCAAUGGAUUCGGUGAUCUUUUAAAAAAAGAGUAGUCUUUCCUUUUAAACUAAAAAAAAGGAAGUUGUUUUCAAAAAAGAAAAAUAUAUUAUUUAAUAAAUAAAUAAAUUUCUCAUUAUUAAAAAAAAGGGUAUAUUUCUUUGUAUCUCUAAUUUUCGAGAACUACGCACACCUGAUUCUCAUCUUAGUGAAAUAUGUAGGCAACCCUUCUAGGGUUCGAUGAUCUCUUCAAAAAAGAAGAUAAAAGAAAAAGAGUUUUAGAAAAAAUAUUGCAUUCUGAUGCCUUUGUUAUUUCUUAUACAGUUAGUUUAAGGUGGUUGGUAUGUGGUAUUUUGGAUGAUCCUCCACAUCACACCAAAUCUAAAGAAAGCUUAACUGUGUCCAACAAGGAUAUAGAAAGUGACUUCAUAGAUCAAACAAAGAGUCAUGAAAAUAAGAGUUUAAAGGAAGAGAAUUUGAGACUAAGGCAACAAAUGAUGUAAAUGUAUCGAGCUUGGGCAAGUGGGCAUCCUCCUCCCCCGUUCCCCACUAUUAAAGACUUGGGCAUGUUUUCAAAUGUCAACCUUCUUCAAAGCUUUGAGAUAUCGAAAUUUAAGGAACAUGAUGGACAUGAGGAUUCUGUGAAGCAUUUGAGAAGAUACUGCAAUCGAUCAAGGAAAAUUGAAAAAGGAAAGAAGAAUGAAAACACAUUUAUUGUCAUGCCAGGGCCAAAGCAGAGUUUGAGAGGUCCAACCAACCAAUACUGUCAGCCUUAAUCCCAAGCUUACAUAUUAGAUCCAUACAACCACAUGCAACAAGGUUCCUUUCUCCAAAAUCUAAGAAAUUUCAUUCCACUUCCUCAAUAUCCUUUAAACAAUGCACAGUCGUAUGUUUAUUCAUCUUUCUAUCCACAAUGGCGCGCCUCGGACCCUCGACAUCAUCCUCGACACUCACAAAUUUACCAAGGAGCCUCUAAAUCUAAGUUUUAUCCGAGGUCAGAGUUUGCAAAGAGAAGAAAGGCAAAGGAUAAUUUCACGCCAAUUGGGGAGUCCUAUACCAGUUUGUUCAAGACAUUGAGGCAAUGGGGCAGAUUCUCCCAUCUCUGGGUAUAUUCCCGAUUCACAUUCAAAAUAUUUUGAUCCUAAUGUACGAUGUGCUUAUCAUUCUAAUAUACAAGGUCACAGUGCUGAAGAUUGUCAUAUUUUGAAAAGAGAAAUAGAGAAAAUGAUUCAAGAAAAAUUGAUUGUGGUGCAAAACGUUGGCACCUCAACUGCCCCACAGAGUUCUUCGUCAGCACAUGGUACUAUACAAUAUGUGGGAAACAAUGAGUCAAGUAUGGAUACCCAGGACUUAUUUGUUGAAGAAAAUGUGUCUGAUCAUGGUAAAAGCUCUAGUUAUGUUGAUAUACAAAUCGGUGGCUAAGUUGUCAGGCUGAGCAAUUGAGAAGUCAUCCCUCUCCCUACUAGGAAGAGGUCUAGUAGUUUAUUUUGUUUUCUUUCUUGUUACCAGAAUUAUUUUAGGGUUGUAGUUUAGGACCUAUAUUAUGUGAUUUUCUUAUCAUUUUUGUUCAAACCCUUCUAUCUUUCUGUCAACAAAAUAUGUGCCCCUUUUGUUUUUAUUUCUCAAUAUAUAUCAUCUUUUUUUUCUUCAAAAAGCUCUUUCUAUGGUGAUUCUGGUAAUAUGAUAAGCAUGUUGAAUUUUUAGUCAGAUCUUAAAACCCAAUCUAAUGCUGAAACAUUCGAUCAAGAACCUAGAGUUGAAAAAAAAAUGUAAGAAAAAUAAGUAAAGUGUUGAGAUGUUUUGGAGACCUAGUUACAUCCUAACUUGAAUGUUUUGAGGUAAUCACUUUGAGAAUAAAAAAUGAAUUGAUCUUCAAUGAGGGGAGGUUCAACUCAAGAAUUUUUGAAUGAGAUCAACCAGAGGAUAUAUAGUUUCUAUUGUCAGAAGAAGCAAAAGAAAGUUAGCUAAAAAAAAGAAGUUAUUUGUUGUGAGGAAAGUACAAUACAAGCAGACCUGUAUGGUUUACAAGUUUUUAAAAAAAAAGUGACAUACGUACAUGUCCUUAAUCACGGUCAAUAUUGAAAAGAUGCGUAUGAUUUUCAUGUUCCAUUCCUAGAUUACAUGUUAUGUACUUGCAUUUUUAAGGAUUGAUAUGACAAAGACAUUUCAUUCUGCUAUCCAAAUGUUAUGUCAUCCUUUGUUAUCCCUUUUGAGAUUUUGUUUUAUUUCUUUUAUAUCCCUCUUUUGGAAAUAAAAUAAAGUCUGCAAAAAAAAUGUGUCAAAAAAAUAGAGUCAGAAAAGUGUCAAAAAAAAGAAUAGAGUCAGAAAAGUAUCAAGAAAAAAUGGAGUCGGGAAAAAUCUAUCUCUCUCUUUCAAAAAAAAAAGAAAAAGAAGAAAAUGAGAGAAAAGUCAAGAAAAAAAAGAAAAUCAAGCGAAAGAACAAGAUUUAUGAACUACAUUUGACCUGAUUCUUGCUAUGACAAGAUACGUAGGUAGCCUUACCUUGGGGUUCGGUCCAAUCAAAAAAAAUUCAGAUUACCCAAAAUAAAAUGAAACUGGGGCAAAGUUUAUUUUCUUAAAAAGGUCGAUUCCAAAAGUUGUAUGUUUCACCCAAUAUUAUGUAAAUUUUUUAGCCACAUCCUCCCUUUCUUUCUAACCUUUUCCAAAAGCCAAGUUACAUCCAAAGAAAGACCUUCAGAUCGAUCUUUGAGAAUAUCAAGGCUAAACAUAUUAUGGGUGCAUGAUGUUUCGUAUCUUGGGCAUUAUUUUUCAAAAAAAAAUGAAUGAUGAAAAAAAUAAAUGAGUAAAAAUGAGAGUCGUAUUGGUGAAAACUCUUUUGGGCACCAUAAGGCGACAGUGAGCUGAGAAAGAAAUGAAAAUGAGAUAGGCGUUGGCAAAACCUCAUUGAGGUACCACUAGCCGAAGGAGGAUUGUGAUCUAGAGGGAGCAUAUUCAAGAUUGAUUCCAUUUCAAACUCAAUAAGUAGACAAGAGUUGUAAUAAUUAGUGUGGGUAGAUCAGGUUGUUUAAUUCAAAAUGCAUGUCAUGGUUGCUAGAAUCGGCUACCACACCCAAAUAAGUUUUCUUCUGUCGUUUUUUUUUAAAAUGCCUAUUGUUUUUCCCUUUUCUUUUUAUUUUUCUAUUUUUGAUUUUUGGUAUCUUUGUCAUCAAAUAAAAAUUAUUGUCAUUUUUCUCGUGUCUUUGAGUUGAGUUCGUGUUAUAACAAGUGAGAAAAAAUUUCAAAACUGGCUACCAGCUUCUUCAAUUGCACAAAGCAAGACAAAAAGCCAACAUAUGAAAGAGACGUAAUUGUGAGCCGAAAUAAGGCAUGCAGAAAAGUUUUGUCAACAAAAGAGUCUAGAAACUCAUGGAAAUAUCAAGGUUUAAAGGGUUUAUUUGAGGAGCAUGGCAAAGCAAAGAUAUUGUGUUUGUUUCAGAGUCACUUCUAAUAAUCUGAGUUUGGGUAAUGAUGCAGCAAGUCGGUGACAGAUACUAAUGGUUAGAAGCAAGGUUAAAUGUGACGAGAGCAAGAGUGAUUGCCACGGAAGUUAAAGCCACAAACCUGCCACCAUGUUUUUGAACUCACAAGUUUUCUUUGAUGAAAUAGGAAACAUGUUACCUUCAAAUUAAGGACGUCAGAGCAUAAAUAUCAAGGGCUACAAUGCCUCAUUUCCACAGAUACAGGAAGCAAUGUUGCUGCAUAGGUUUGAUAAUCAAAUUAUGGUAAAAAUUCAACCCCUAGGAGACUUACUUCCUAAUCUGGACAAUUCAAGUUUCAUUUGUUAGGUGAAGCACUUCCUAACUUGAACAUUCACUCCUAGAAGACGUACCUUUUAGUCGAAUCACUCCCCUUGAUUCCUAUAAGAUGUAUCUUUUAGUCGAGUCAUUCCCCUUGAUUCCUAUAAGAUGUACCUUUUAGUCGAGUCAUUCCCCUUAUUUCCUAUAAGACAUAUCUUUUAGUUAAGUCAUUCCCCUUGAUUCCUAUAAGAUGUACCUUUUAGUCGACUCAUUUUUCUUGAUUCCUAUAAGACUUACCUUUUAGUCGAGUCACUCCUCUUUAUUCCUAUAAGAAGUACCUUUUAUUCAAGUUAUUUCUCAUUAAUUCCUAUAAGACAAACCUUUUAGUCGAGUCAUCCCCUUGAUUCCUAUAAGAUGUACCUUUUAGUUGAGUCAUCCCCCUUGAUUCCUAUAAGACGUACCUUUUAGUUAAGUCACUCCCUUGAUUCCUAUAAGGCAUACCUUUUAGUCGAAUCAUCCCCCUUGAUUCUUAUAAGACGUACCUUUUAGUCGAGCCAUCUCCCUUGAUUCCUAUAAGACGUACAUUUUAGUCGAAUCAUCCCCCUUGAUUCCUAUAAGACGUACCUUUUAGUUGAGUCGUUCCCUUUGAUUCUUAUAAGAUGUACCUUUUAGUUGAGUUAUCCCCUUGAUUCCUAAAAGACAUACCUUUUAGUCGAGUCAUACCCCUUGAUUCCUAUAAGACAUAAGACGUACCUUUUAGUCGAGUCAUCCCCUUGAUUCCUAUAAGACAUACCUUUUAGUUGAGUCAUCCCCUUGAAUCCUAUAAGACGUACCUUUUAGUCGAGUCACUUUCCUUGAUUCCUAUAAGACGUACUUUUUAGUUGAGUCAUUCCCCUUGAUUCCUAUAAGACGUACCUUUUAGUCGAGUCAUUUCUAUUGAUUCCUAUAAGAUGUACCUUUUAGUCGAGUCACUCCUCUUGAUUCCUAUAAGAUGUACCUUUUAGUCGAGUCAUUCCCCUUGAUUCCUAUAAGACGUACCUUUCAGUCGAGUCAUCCCCCUUGAUUUCUAUAAGAGGUACCUUUUAUUUGAGUCACUCCCCUUGAUUCCUAUAAGACGUACCUUUUAGUCGAGUUAUCCCAUUGAUUCCUAUAAGACGUACCUUUUAGUCGAGUCAGUCCCCUUGAUUGCUAUAAGACGUACCUUUUAGUUGAGUUAUCCCUCUUGAUUAAAUAAGACAUACCUUUUAGUCGAGUUAUCCCCCUUGAUUCCUAUAAGACGUACCUUUUAGUCGAGUCAUUCCCCUUGAUUCCUAUAAGACGUACCUUUUAGUUGAGUCAUUCCCCUUGAUUCCUAUAAGACAUACUUUUUAGUCGAGUCAUUCCCUUGAUUCCUAUAAGAUGUACCUUUUAGUUGAGUCAUUUUCUAAGUACAAGCUGGGGCAAAAAUUUUGUUCGUGUUCAUUGAAUUUUACUUUCUGCUCAGGACCCUCCUGAAGAAUGGAAAUUUAUUUUAUACUCAGGACCCUCCUGAAGAAUGGGAUGUUAUUUUUCUGUUUUAUUGUUUACUUUGAGUCGAGGAGCCUACCUGAAGAACAGAGUAAAGGAGUCGCAGAUCAGAAACCCGCCUGAAGAAUAGAGUGAAUAUUAUCAGUUGCAAGUUUAGGAGCCUGCCUGAAGAAUAAGGUGAAGAUUGUCAAGUUCAAGUCAGAGAAAAUUUUGAAGAAUAAAUCAAUUAUCAAGUUCCUCUCUAAAUGCCAAAAUCCAACAAGAAGGAACAUUUCAUGUUUCAAGGUCAACUCAGAAUAACGACUAUCUCACCAUUUGAGAAGUCAUGAAAAUUCAAAUCAAGAUUCGAGAAUAGCUGAAUAGAUAGGAUCUUUCACAUGUAUCUUUAAUUUUAUUUUUGUUAUUCAUAUGAAUGUAAAAGCAUAAGUCGUCAACUGGAAACUCGAUGGAACCUCACUUGACCUCUAACUCGUUCUCUCACCAUUUUACCUUUGAACUACAUAUGACCCGAUUCCCUUAUAAUCCAAAAUAUGUAGGCGAUCCAAAACCAGGACUCGAUCGCAUCUCCUUUUUCAUUUUAUAUUCUUUUUGAAUAAUCGUAGGAUCAAAAAUCAUAUCUUUGUCUACUUCUUUGUAUGAAAACUCUUCCAGAUUUCAAACAAAGAGGGGGAAAAUAUAGACACGUGAUUUUUGAUCCUCCCUGAGUGUAAUAUAUAUAUUUUUUGAUAUUAAAUAUUUAUAUUUGAUCCGAUAUUAUUUUAAUUCUUAUUUUAUUUUUAAUAAAUUUUUAGUUAAAAACUAAAUAACUAAAUGAAAUUAAUUUAAGGAUAUUAUUUUAUUUUAUUCCAUUAAAUUUUAAAUAAAUAAGCUAGUAAUUUUAGUACUAUCUUAAUUAUAUUUAUUUUUGGCUAUUUUUAAAAUUUUAUUAUAUUUUUCUUAAAUAUAAAAAUUAAUUAAUUAUUAUAUUAUUUUUAUUGUUAUUAUUAUUAUUUUACUUAUCUAUUUAUUAUUUUUAUUUGAUAUUAUUAUUAUCUUUUAAAAAAAAAUUGAAAAUCCUAUCCUAUCUUAAACUACCCCAACCACCCCCACCUUUUCCUCCAAUCCCCUCAACUUCCCUCUUAAUACAUUAUAUAACACACAAGACCCUAAGAGAAGAGGAGGAUACACAAAAAUACACGGACAUAAACCAAAAAGAAAAAGAAAACAGAAACAACAAAUAAAAGGAACACAGUAGAAGCAAAAACAAGGAGAGACAUAAGGAAAAGAAACAGACAAAGAUGGAAAAACAAGCAAAACAGAAGAGAAAAGUAGACUUGAGAGGAAAAAGGAGUAAAAAAAGUGACGAUUUGAGUUCAAGUUCGGGUUUCGUUUGAGUUUUUUUUUGGUGAAGACAUUUUUUGUUUCUAUUUUAGUUAUUCUACCACACAGGUUCUUAUCGGAUUCUUUAUUGAUAAUUUUAUUUAGUUUUUGGGGUUAAAGCAUGAAUGAAGUAAUUCCAAUGAUUUGUUAUAUUAUUUCGUAUGUAAAAUUAAUUAUUUAGUUUAUGCUUUACGUCUUUAUUUGUAAUUCGUGUAAUGUUUUUUGAAGAUAAUGUUAAUUAUAUUGACUAUGAAUUUUGAAUGCGAUGAUUCCAAAGUUAUUAGUUGUAAAGAUAUAAAUUGCGUUAAUACAAAUAAUUAGUAUGUAUUGUGCUAUAAACCACUACUUUGAUUCAUGAAUGCAAUGCAUGUAAAAAGAUUUUAAAAGAGAAGGGUUGAAAAAAUAACAUGCACAUGCAUAUGCACACACACAAAAAUGGAAGACAUAUAAAACUGGAAGAAAAAAAAUCUUAAGAAGAAAGGAAAGGAGAAAAAAAAAUAGAGACAUGAACAUGCAAACAGAUAAUGGAAAAAUUUAAAAAGAAAAAGAAAAGAUAGAGUUGAUAAAAUAAUGAAAGAGCACCACUUUAUUCAUUCUUUUUAUUUGGAUCUUUGUUUUGUUAUUGUUGUUAGUUGUCAAGAAUAAAAAGAAAACAAUUUCUAUAGUUGGUUUAAAAAUUAAAUCUUGAGGUUUAAGCUAUCAAUUUAAAUAAUAAGUUAGGUCAAUUAUAGUAAUUUAAUUUUGUUGUUUUCGUUUAUGUUUGAUCUUUUGUUCUAAUUGUAGUAUUCGAAUGUUUGGUUUCAAUUGAUUGGAUGCAUUUACAUUUAUCAUCUGAUAAGAUUUUUAAUUGUGAUCGAGUUUGAGUUGGCUUUCAGUUUGGUCAAAAUUUGGCCAUAGCAAAUCGCAUGGAUCACGAUUUUAAAUUUUAAAUCAAGACCCAUCAUAUUUGACAAUAGAAAAGAAAGGAUAAAAUUAAUAGAAAAAAUAGCAAGCAAUAAUAUAAAACGAAAAAAGAAAAGAAUUUAUUUUUGAAGUUAUAAAACAUGUUUUUGACAUUACGAAUUGUAUUAUUUUUUAUUUAUUAAAAAAUUUAAUAAUUAUUUAUUAAAUUAAUUAAUUAAUUUAGUUGAAUAUUUUUUAAGGUUAAGUAGCAUUUUUUUGAACAGGUAAAUUGUUACAUGUUUUUAUAAAAAAAAAAAAAAGAUAAAUCGAUGUUUAGCGUUAGACAAAUUUUAGAGACAUUUAAAAUAUUCGUCUCAAUUAAGAAUGCGGCAUACACAUCUUUCUAAGAUAUUUAGAAUUCAAGGAUGCAAUAAUACGCCUUGGCAAAUAUUUUUCUAAAAUUAAUUUUCAUUGAUUUAUUUAACAUAAAAUAAUAGACUAGUUUUAAAUAAAAUGAGCGAAUUUAGGUCUUAACAUAAUUGGUCAAAAUAGUUUAGUUUAAGUAUAAGUCAAUAAAAGCAACCGUGCUAGAACCACAGGACUCGAGGGGUGCCUCACUCCUUCCCCUCAGUCAACAAAAUUUCUUACCCGGUCUUCUAUUUUCGCAGACCAACAAAGAGUCAUUUUCUUUUGAUUAGAGAUUCAAAAAGGUGACUUGAAACACCAUAACUCAAUUUCAAGUGGUGACUUUGUAAAUAAAAUAAUCCCUAUUCAAAACUGUCACUUUAAUUAAAAAAAUCCUUCGACUCAAUCCUUGCAGGCGAAAAGGGGGUGUGACAAUCCUCAAUGCUACUCUCAAACUUAAACCCCCAAGAGAACCUAAGGAUUUCAUCGUACGUUCAUCUUUCCGGUCUCAAGCUUUGAAUUUCUUUUCAAUUCUCAUGUGUCUAAGUAUGUACCUCUUUUUCUACACUUUUAUUUUCUCAAUGGCAUGAAAAUUAGUUUAUUAUUCAUGGUUUUGAUAUUGGGUUUUGAACUAUGGGUUGAGGUUUCUGGAUAUAAAUUGUUUGAAUGUUUUCUCAUGAUUACUAUUGAACUAUUAUGUUUUACAUUAUUAAUUUGCACACUCAUUGGGGUGCAUGAAAAUGGUAAACAAACUAAGGGGUCAUGAUUAUCCCCAAUUUGAUGAUUUUGCCUUGAUAUAUGAUUUUAAAAAUUAUGUUCCCUCAACCCAAAUUGUGAAAUUAAUAAUGAAUAUGGUUUCAUCAUACAGUUUGAAGUUCUCACUUGAACUAUUGCAUUGGCAUAAAAGUUUAAUGAACUAUGGUGUAGUUUUAUUGAACUUUGGGGUAUGUGGAUUCCUCGUGAGGAUGUCAAUUGAACCUAAGGAGUCAUAAAUUUCUCCCGUGUAAUGGUUAAUGGAUUGUGGCAUGAUAAUGAACUUGCAAGUAGAGUUGGUAUGACGAUAACAAUGGGAUGCCUAAAUGUAUAAUCGGUUCAAUAAAUUAGGAAUAUGUGUUAAAUAUUUUAAUUGGGCUUAAAAGCGGGUAGUGUAGCCGGUCCAUGAAAGUAGAAGUCCCGAUGGACAAACAGCAAAAACCGCGUUAAUCGGCGUGGGGGUCUAAAUGACUGGGAGGUUCGAGUUUCCCUUAUUAUUAUUAUAUGAUUGGGAGGUUCAAGUCCCCCUUGUUAUAUAAAUUGGUGCUUUAUCCACAUUUGAUUUACACCGGGAGGUUCGAGUCCCUCAUCAGGCAUAUGAUAUAGGAUUAUCCUCUGGUUCGUGCGGCUACAUGUACUAGGGUCCUUCCAGCUGGGGAAGAGCUGGGCCCAUAUAACCCAUGGGUCCCUUGAUUAUGACAGUUAUACUAUACAAUCCAGGUUAAGGUUUUUAACAUUCAUGCUAAACCCUGUUUCCUUUCCCAGCAUAAUAUAUAUAUAUAUAUAUAUAUAUAUAUAUGUUGCAUAUGUCAUUGUGCAUUAGUUUUAAUGAUUUUUGUAUUAUGGUUCGUGACAUUAUUUUAUCCUUUAUGCUUGAGUUACAUGCUAGCGCUCCAACCGCUAACCGUCUUCGAACGUCGUAUCCCUACGUAAUGCAGACACCAGAAAUUUUUCUACCUUUCUUGCACAAUGAUUAGGUGCCUUGGAUAGCUGAUGAGUUGACUUGAAGUGGUAAGUUUCCAUCUUCCAAAGGACUUUAUUUUAUAUUUUCAUUUCCUAUGUCUUAGACUUUGUUUCAAACUUGUUUUUGGUUAUGGUCGGGGGCUUGUCCCAUCACAUUAUUGGUAUUUGGUUUUGUUAGAGGCUUUAUGGAUAACUUUGGACUUGGGUGUUGGUUAUUGGUAUUGGUGACGGUUUAUGGACAUAUUACCUAUGUCUUGAGUUUACCCUUAUUACCAUGUUAUAUAUCUGGGAUUCGGUCUCUGACAGCGUGUAUUCUUGUUUAACUAGGCAAAAGGGGUGGUCUCCGGUCCUCGAAGGACUUGAGAUACCCAUCACAGCUAGGCCCUGGUUCAGGUGGUGACAGUCAGACCUAGGUCGGGUCUAGGAGCUGAGGGGUUGGGGGUCCAAGUCAGGAGUCGAGAAUCGCGGUCGACCUGGAUCGGAUGUUGGGGUUGGGUUCCGAAUACGAAGUUAGGGUAGAUUCUCGUGUCCAGAUUGGGUCCUGGAUGAGGAGUGGGGGUCUGGUCCUUGAAUGGUUGUCGGGGUCAGGUCUUGCAUCACGUGUGAGGAAUCGAGGUUUAAGGUUGGGAUUGAAUUUGGUGCCAUUAGUAUUUGCUUAGAUUAUUACCUAUAUAAUGUUGGGAUAAUAUCUUCUUUUGACCAAUCAAACACCAAAAAAUAAGUAAUAAAAUCACUUAUUUUCACAGAAAAUAUUUCUAGGAAAACAUUUUCUUUCAUACCAACCCCCUCAACUUCCCUCUUAAUACAUUAUAUAACACACAAAAUACUAAGAGAAGAGGAGGAUACACAAAAACACAUGGACAUAAACCAAAAAGAAAAAGGAAACAGAAACAACAAAAAAAAAUGGAACACAACAGAAGCAAAAAUAAAGAGAGACAGAAGAAAAAGAAACAGACAAAGAUGGAAAAACAAGCAAAACAGAAGAGAAAAGUAGACUUGAGAGGAAAAAGGAGUAAAAAAAGUGACGAUUUGAGUUCAAGUUCGGGUUUCGUUUGAGUUUUUUUUUGGUGAAGACAUUUUUUGUUUCUAUUUUAGUUAUUCUACCACACAGGUUCUUAUCGGAUUCUUUAUUGAUAAUUUUAUUUAGUUUUUGGGGUUAAAGCAUGAAUGAAGUAAUUCCAAUGAUUUGUUAUAUUAUUUCGUAUGUAAAAUUAAUUAUUUAGUUUAUGCUUUACGUCUUUAUUUGUAAUUCGUGUAAUGUUUUUUGAAGAUAAUGUUAAUUAUAUUGACU
Molecule: long non-coding RNA, 14276 nt
Filed under: Capsicum annuum
Lineage: Eukaryota; Viridiplantae; Streptophyta; Magnoliopsida; Solanales; Solanaceae
Description: long non-coding RNA (CANN_LNC001633)
Source: RNAcentral